CGAAAAGUUAUGUAAGGGCGUAUGGGGGAUGCCUAGGCUCUCAGAGGCGAAGAAGGACGUGAUAAGCUGCGAAAAGUUGCGGGGAUUGGCACAUACGAUUAGAUCCGCAAAUAUCCGAAUGGGGCAACCCAGUACAUUGAAGAUGUACUACACCGAUUGGUGGGCAAACCUGCUGAACUGAAACAUCUUAGUAGGCAGAGGAGAAGAAAACAAAAGUGAUUCCCAGAGUAGUGGCGAGCGAAAUGGGAGCAGCCCAAACCCAUAUUGUUACGGCAAUAUGGGGGUAGUAGGACCCAGAUAUAGGUUGUAAAACUGGAUUAGAAGUGUUUGGAAAGACACACCAUAGAGAGUGAAAGUCUCGUAUAGGUACAGCUUUAUAAAUCUUAUGGGUAUCCUGAGUAGGUCGGGGCACGUGGAACCUUGACUGAAUCCGCCGGGACCAUCCGGUAAGGCUAAAUACUCCUGAGAGACCGAUAGUGAACCAGUACCGUGAGGGAAAGGUGAAAAGAACCGUGAAUAACGGAGUGAAAUAGACCCUGAAACCAUACGCUUACAAGCGGUCGGAGCAGCGUCAGCUGUGACGGCGUGCCUUUUGCAUAAUGAGCCUACGAGUUACUGUUACCAGCGAGGAUAAGUAUUUCAGAUACGAAUCCGUAGCGAAAGCGAGUCUGAAUAGGGCGCUCAUAGUUGGUAGUAGUAGACGCGAAACCUGGUGAUCUACCCUUGGGCAGGUUGAAGCGCUGGUAACACAGCGUGGAGGACCGAACUGGUUGUCGUUGAAAAGACUUCGGAUGACCUGAGGGUAGGGGUGAAAGGCCAAUCAAACUGGGAAAUAGCUCGUACUCCCCGAAAUGCAUUUAGGUGCAGCGUUGAUGCGAGUUUAAUAGAGGUAGAGCUACUGAUUGGAUGCGGGGGUUUCAUCGCCUACCAAUUCCUGACAAACUCCGAAUGCUAUUAAAUGCUCAUCAGCAGUGAGGGUAUGGGUGCUAAGGUCCAUAUCCUAAAGGGAAAGAACCCGGACCAUCAGCUAAGGUCCCCAAAUAUAUGCUAAGUUGACCAAACGCGGUCUGACUGCACUGACAGCUAGGAUGUUGGCUUGGAAGCAGCCAUACAUUUAAAGAGUGCGUAACAGCUCACUAGUCGAGCGGUUGGGCAUGGAUAAUAAACGGGCAUAAGCAUAUUACCGAAGCUAUGGGGUUAUUACUUGAAGUAAUAUACCGGUAGGGGAGCAUUCUAUUGGCGUGGAAGCUAAAGGCGUGAGCCAUAGUGGAGCCUGAUAGAAAAGAAAAUGUAGGCAUAAGUAACGAUAAGGCAGGCGAGAAACCUGCCCGCCGAAAGAUCAAGGUUUCCUCAGCUAUGCUAAUCAGCUGAGGGUUAGUCGGGGACUAACGCGAACCCGAGUAGGGGUAGUGGAUGUACAAUAGGUUAAUAUUCCUAUACCAUUAGUCUGUUAAAAGUGACGGAAUGAGAUAACUACCGCGUACUGACGGAAUAGUACGUUUAAGGAGUUGUUAUGACUUCGAAAGUACGCUGAGGCUUCGGCCGAGGUGAGUGUGGUGACAACGUUUCCAAGAAAAGCGAAGGCUAAUGCCCGUACCGUAAACCGACACAGGUGAUUGGGAUGAGAAUUCUAAGGCGCUCGAGAGAUUCAUGGCUAAGGAACUAGGCAAAAUAGACCUGUAACUUAGGGAGAAAGGUCGCCUAUCAUUAGAUAGGCCGCAGUGAAAAGGUCCAAGCGACUGUUUAUCAAAAACACAGGACUCUGCAAAAUCGAAAGAUGAAGUAUAGGGUCUGACACCUGCCCGGUGCUGGAAGGUUAAGAGGAGAGCUUAGCAGCAAUGCGAAGGUUUGAAUUGAAGCCCCAGUAAACGGCGGCCGUAACUAUAACGGUCCUAAGGUAGCGAAAUUCCUUGUCGGGUAAGUUCCGACCUGCACGAAUGGUGUAACGAUUUGGACACUGUCUCGGCCAUGAGCUCGGUGAAAUUGUAGUAUCGGUGAAGAUGCCGAUUACCCGCAGUGGGACGAAAAGACCCUGUGCACCUUUACUAUAUCUUCGUAUUGGUCUUGGAUAAGUGAUGCGUAGGAUAGGUGGGAGACUAAGAAGCGGCUAUUCCGGUAGUUGUGGAGUCAUUGUUGAAAUACCACCCUUUGCUUAUCUGAGGUCUAACUUUGCACAAGGCAAAGGACAAUUCGUGGAGGGUAGUUUGACUGGGGUGGUCGCCUCCAAAAGUGUAACGGAGGCUUCUAAAGGUUCCCUCAGCACGCUUGGUAACCGUGCGUAGAGUGCAAUGGCAUAAGGGAGCUUGACUGAGAGACAGACAAGUCGAUCAGGUACGAAAGUAGAGCAUAGUGAUCCGGUGGUUCCGUAUGGAAGGGCCAUCGCUCAAAGGAUAAAAGGUACGCCGGGGAUAACAGGCUGAUCUCCCCCAAGAGCUCACAUCGACGGGGGGGUUUGGCACCUCGAUGUCGGCUCGUCACAUCCUGGGGCUGGAGAAGGUCCCAAGGGUUGGGCUGUUCGCCCAUUAAAGUGGCACGCGAGCUGGGUUCAGAACGUCGUGAGACAGUUCGGUCUCUAUCUACUGUGGGCGUUAGAAAUUUGCGUGGAUCUGACUCUAGUACGAGAGGACCGAGUUGGACGCACCGCUGGUGUAUCUGUUGUCUUGCCAAGGGCAUAGCAGAGUAGCUAAGUGCGGAUGGGAUAAGUGCUGAAAGCAUAUAAGUACGAAACCCGCCACAAGAUGAGAUUUCUUUUAAGGGUCGUGGGAGAUGACCACGUUGAUAGGUUACAGGUGUAACGGUGGUAACAUCAUAGCCGAGUAAUACUAAUAACCCGUAGACUUUUCGCGCAG
Molecule: ribosomal RNA, 2849 nt
Filed under: Capnocytophaga sp. FDAARGOS_737
Lineage: Bacteria; Pseudomonadati; Bacteroidota; Flavobacteriia; Flavobacteriales; Flavobacteriaceae
Description: 23S ribosomal RNA
Rfam family: Bacterial large subunit ribosomal RNA
Source: RNAcentral